RNAcentral lists this long non-coding RNA (1779 nucleotides) under Betta splendens (Siamese fighting fish). RNAcentral's name for it is "lncRNA (ENSBSLG00000020812.1)". Lineage: Eukaryota; Metazoa; Chordata; Actinopteri; Anabantiformes; Osphronemidae. The record is from RNAcentral.
AUGACAGUACCCCCCCCCCCUAUGGCGCCUUCCACGGCGCCCACGGAAGCCCCCCCCCCCAAACCAGGGCGGGCGGAGGGUGGCCCCAGGAGGAGGGACCGAACCCCCACCCCACAAGGCACACGAGCAGGGUGGGUGGAGGGAGGACCGGAGGAGGGUCAAGGCAAGAGUCCAUAUAACAAAGUCCACGAACGGGGAAGAACACGAAGUCCAGGGAUUCCGUCACGGAGGGUGACGGCGUGGCGAGAUCCUGCUCAGCAGCCGCUGAGCCAGGGUGGCACUCUUAGUGCCCUUGAACUGGGCCGAUGUCCCCGGGGGCCACCCCGAAUGGCAACGUCCUCCAGGCGGACGCUGAUCCGAUGGGCUGAGGAGUCGAGGCGGGCGUCGCCGCAGGAGGCAGCGCCAUCCAGGCAGCAGGAGGCGCCGAGGGCGAGGCCACCAGUCCGGCAGCCGAGCCAAGGACGAGGCAGGAACCAGCGGCGUCCUCUUUGGACCACCGCGACGAGAGGCAGGAACCAGCGGCGUCCUCUUUGGACCACCGCGACGAGAGGCAGGAACCAGCGGCGUCCUCUUUGGACCACCGCGACGAGAGGCAGGAACCAGCGGCGUCCUCUUUGGACCACCGCGACGAGAGGCAGGAACCAGCGGCGUCCUCCUCGGACCACCGCGACGAGAGGCAGGAACCAGCGGCGUCCUCCUCGGGCCACCGCGACGAGAGGCAGGAACCAGCGGCGUCCUCCUCGGACCACCGCGACGAGAGGCAGGAACCAGCGGCGUCCUCCUCGGACCACCGCGACGAGAGGCAGGAACCAGCGGCGUCCUCCUUGGACCACCGCGACGAGAGGCAGGAACCAGCGGCGUCCUCCUUGGACCACCGCGACGAGAGGCAGGAACCAGCGGCGUCCUCCUUGGACCACCGCGACGAGACACAGGCGCAGGAGCGGCCGGAGCCGGGCCGCCAGGAACCGAUGCAGGAGCGGCCGGAGCCGGGUCGGCAGGAACUAUGACUGGCGCGACCCCCUCCUGGAGGUCCGCCGGGACUGCAGCUGGCGCGACCCCCUCCGGGAGGUGCGCGGGGACUGCAGCUGGCGCGACCCCCUCCGGGAGGUGCGCGGGGACUGCAGCUGGCGCGACCCCCUCCGGGAGGUGCGCGGGGACUGCAGCUGGCGCGACCCCCUCCGGGAGGUGCGCGGGGACUGCAGCUGGCGCGACCCCCUCCGGGAGGUGCGCGGGGACUGCAGCUGGCGCGACCUCCUCCGGGAGGUGCGCGGGGACUGCAGCUGGCGCGACCUCCUCCUGGAGGUGCGCGGGGACUGCAGCAGGCGCCGCCUCCUCCUGGAGGCCGGCGGGCGCUGCGGCUCCGCCUCCUCCUGGAGGCCGGCGGGCGCUGCGGCUCCGCCUCCUCCUGGAGGCCGGCGGGCGCUGCGGCUCCGCCUCCUCCUGGAGGCCGGCGGGCGCUGCGGCUCCGAGGGUGACAGGGACUGGAACGACCUCUCUCGGGCCGACAGGAACGAGGACUGGAACGACCGCCACAGGGCCGACAGGAACGGGAGUGGCCUCAACAUGGCCGACGGGAACGCCCUCAACUUGGCCGACAGGAACUGGGACAGGAACUGGGACGACCUCAACAUGGCCGACAGGAACUGGGACGGCAUCUACUUGGCCGACAGGGACAAGAACGGCAUCUACUUGGCCGACAGGGACAAGAACGGCAUCUACUUGGCCGACAGGGACAAGAACGGCAUCUACUUGGCCGACAGGGACUGGAACGACCCCUAA